UACGUAGGUCCCGAGCGUUGUCCGGAUUUAUUGGGCGUAAAGCGAGCGCAUGUGGUUUAUUAAGUCUGGUGUAAAAGGCAGUGGCUCAACCAUUGUAUGCAUUGGAAACUGGUAGACUUGAGUGCAGGAGAGGAGAGUGGAAUUCCAUGUGUAGCGGUGAAAUGCGUAGAUAUAUGGAGGAACACCGGUGGCGAAAGCGGCUCUCUGGCCUGUAACUGACACUGAGGCUCGAAAGCGUGGGGAGCAAACAGG
RNAcentral lists this ribosomal RNA (252 nucleotides) under uncultured bacterium. Its description in RNAcentral is "partial 16S ribosomal RNA". It matches the Rfam family "Bacterial small subunit ribosomal RNA", at positions 524 to 776 of the family's 1533-position model. The record is from RNAcentral.